Molecule: non-coding RNA, 71 nt
Organism: Trichonephila clavata
Lineage: Eukaryota; Metazoa; Arthropoda; Arachnida; Araneae; Nephilidae
Source: the annotation of a GenBank genome assembly
GUCCCUGUAGCACAAUGGAUAGUGCGUUGAGCUUCCGAUUCGAAGACCGUGGGUGCGAAUCCCACCUGACU